AAUGAACGUUGGCGGCGUGGAUUAGGCAUGCAAGUCGAGCGGAAAGGCCCGCAAGGGCACUCGAGCGGCGUAAGGGACAGUAAUGUGUAGGUAACGUACCCCUGGGUCUAGGAUAGCUGCGGGAAACUGCAAUUAAUACUAGAUAACGUCUCCGGACCAAAGGUGUGAUUCCACCUGGGGGAGCGGCCUACAUCCUAUUAGCUAGUUGGCGAGGUAAUGGCUCACCAAGGCGAAGAUGGGUAGCAGGUGUGAGAGCACGACCUGCGUCACUGGGACUGUGACACUGCCCAGACACCUACGGGUGGCUGCAGUCGAGAAUCUUCGGCAAUGGGCGAAAGCCUGACCGAGCGACGCCGCGUGUGGGAUGAAGGCCUC
This 375-nucleotide ribosomal RNA is filed under the name uncultured bacterium. RNAcentral describes it as "bacterial SSU rRNA". It matches the Rfam family "Bacterial small subunit ribosomal RNA", at positions 29 to 418 of the family's 1533-position model. The record is from RNAcentral.